RNAcentral lists this ribosomal RNA (440 nucleotides) under uncultured bacterium. Its description in RNAcentral is "partial 16S ribosomal RNA". It matches the Rfam family "Bacterial small subunit ribosomal RNA", at positions 338 to 795 of the family's 1533-position model. The record is from RNAcentral.
CCUACGGGUGGCAGCAGUGGGGAAUAUUGCACAAUGGGGGAAACCCUGAUGCAGCGACGCCGCGUGAGUGAAGAAGUAAUUCGUUAUGUAAAGCUCUAUCAGCAGGGAAGAAAAUGACGGUACCUGAGUAAGAAGCACCGGCUAACUACGUGCCAGCAGCCGCGGUAAUACGUAGGGGGCAAGCGUUAUCCGGAUUUACUGGGUGGAAAGGGAGCGUAGACGGCAGUGCAAGUCUGGAGUGAAAGGCGGGGGCUCAACCCCCGGACUGCUCUGGAAACUGUACGGCUGGAGUGCAGGAGAGGUAAGUGGAAUUCCUAGUGUAGCGGUGAAAUGCGUAGAUAUUAGGAGGAACACCAGUGGUGAAGGCGGCUUACUGGACUGUAACUGACGUUGAGGCUCGAAAGCGUGGGGAGCAAACAGGAUUAGAUACCCCAGUAGUC